RNAcentral lists this ribosomal RNA (256 nucleotides) under uncultured bacterium. Its description in RNAcentral is "partial 16S ribosomal RNA". It matches the Rfam family "Bacterial small subunit ribosomal RNA", at positions 524 to 777 of the family's 1533-position model. The record is from RNAcentral.
UACAUGGGGUGCAAACGUUGCUCGGAAUUAUUGGGCGUAAAGCGCACGUAGGCGGUUCGUUAAGUCGGAUGUGAAAGCCCUCGGCUCAACUGAGGAAGUGCACCCGAAACUGGCGAGCUUGAGUACGAAAGAGGAUCGCGGAAUUCCCGGUGUAGAGGUGAAAUUCGUAGAUAUCGGGAAGGAACACCGGUGGCGAAGGCGGCGAUCUGGGUCGAUACUGACGCUGAGGUGCGAAAAGCGUGGGGAGCAAACAGGG